AUUUCAGGCUGGGCUGAAAGAUCCUCCGGCACAACAAAGCUGGGCCCAGGAGAUAUCCUGCAUGACUCAUCAGUUGGCCAUGCAUUGGAGACUUCCGGCCCUCAGAGAAACCAGACACAGAGAGCCAUUGUUUGCCUUGGAAGCCCCCCGGCAUACCAGGCUCAAUGGGGGGGCAGAAACUCCCUGAACUCAUACCCACAGUCUACCCACAAUUUGGCCCACACCCAGGGACACAGCCCCAAGGGGGCAAGGACUGGAG
Molecule: long non-coding RNA, 259 nt
Filed under: Homo sapiens (human)
Lineage: Eukaryota; Metazoa; Chordata; Mammalia; Primates; Hominidae
Description: HSALNT0028472
Source: RNAcentral